RNAcentral lists this ribosomal RNA (237 nucleotides) under Triticum aestivum (bread wheat). RNAcentral describes it as "partial small subunit ribosomal RNA". The record is from RNAcentral. Lineage: Eukaryota; Viridiplantae; Streptophyta; Magnoliopsida; Poales; Poaceae.
AUGGCAAUCUCAAAGAAGAAGACAAGCGCCCUGAUUUUGAUGGCCCUCAUAGUCAUGGCCACUGUCCUCUCCUCAUGCAACGCAAACAAUGAGAUACAGAUAGAUGCUCUCCCCCUACCCGAUAAAUGCUACAGCACGGGACUCCCUAACUGCACAAAGGAGGCGUGCAAGAAACUUUGCAACAGCCCAGGGGGGUAUUGCAGGCUCGCAUCCGACUGUUGUUGCCCUGUUUCCUAA